Molecule: ribosomal RNA, 253 nt
Filed under: uncultured bacterium
Lineage: Bacteria
Description: partial 16S ribosomal RNA
Rfam family: Bacterial small subunit ribosomal RNA
Source: RNAcentral
UACGAAGGGGGCUAGCGUUGUUCGGAAUCACUGGGCGUAAAGGGCGCGUAGGCGGCCGAUCAAGUCGGGGGUGAAAGCCUGUGGCUCAACUACAGAAUUGCCUUCGAUACUGUUUGGCUUGAGACCGGAAGAGGUUAGUGGAACUGCGAGUGUAGAGGUGAAAUUCGUAGAUAUUCGCAAGAACACCAGUGACGAAGGCGGCUGACUGGUCCGGUUCUGGCGCUGAGGCGCGAAAGCGUGGGGAGCAAACAGG